CGUACAAAAGAAAGGAUGCUGAAUCCCUUUCUCUUUUUAAGCAUUCAAACUUAAAUCUUUCCCAUUUUGCCAUAAUAACAAACGUACCACACCUUAUUUUCUCUCUAGCUAAUUAUUUUGUUGUUUCAAUAUGCAAGGAAGCAACAACGUGACUUACAUUUAUAUGGAAACAACACAGUUUUGAAUUGAUAGAGCACUAACGUGACUUGGUAUUUUACGGAAGAAAAAUGUAUUUUUUUUUCUCAAGAACAAUAUUCGGAUUUUGCUCACUGCUUCGAUCUCGUUAUUUCGUCUUAUCGUGUUGUUAAAUCCGGGCUUUCUUCGUAGUGAAGUAAGGUGGAAGAAGAUUAUUUCUUGGAAUAUAAGACCUGCGAGCUCGAGAAGUAGACGUUGGACAUUAGAUAGAGUUCAAGGUAUGUGAGGCUAGUCCUUUCUUUCUAAUGGCAUGAAUCCUAUAGCAUGAGUUCUUUUCCUCUUCAUGAGUUCCUAUUUUCCGGAAAGCUAGAAGCCUAAGUCCAUAAAUGUCUAUAUAAGAUAAGAGAUAUGAUAUGAUGAUGCCAUAUUGAUAAUAAUGCUAUUUAUUGCUUACACUCACCUUAUGUACUAAUUCCUUCAAGGUGAGGCAGAAUGUCAAUAAUUGCUCCAUAAUGAAAUCGGGGGAUCACGACCUUACGCCACCCCGAUAGAGUAUAGUUGAUCUUGAGUCUUAUGCAUGUACUAUGAUAAGCAUAUUGUGAUAAGCAUAUUAUUACAACUAUUUUUGAUGAGCAUGUCAUGAUCAUAAUACACCGCGCCUAGUUGGCCGGGCAGUCACCGCCAAGGCGGGCAGCUAUACGGAUACACCAUGACCUUUUGGCAUGGGCAGACACCACUAGUGGGCGGCAUGAGAUGGUACCCCGGACGCGGGAGGCCUGGACGCAGGCUAAUGUUAUUAAUUAUCACACCGUUCCGAUAUGGACGGGCCGCUUGCAUAUUAUGCAUAUAUGAGAUUAUGAUGAGUAUGAGUAAGACAACAUGCAUUACUUCUUUUAUGAUUGUCAUUCAGAUUCAGAUGUUUCAUAUUGAUGUUCACAUUAUAUUAUCACUGUCUUUCUUCAUUGUUUAUGCCUCUCAUACUCAGUACAAUGUUCGUACUGACGUCUGUUUUCUUUGGACGCUGUGUUCAUGCCCACAGGUAGACAGGGAGGUGAGCUUGGUCCAGACCCUUAGUAGCUGUCAGCUGAUUAAGAGCACUCCAUUGUCCGGAGGUGCUUAUGAUUCUUCUUUUGGUAUAUAUGCAUAUUUUGGGCACGACGGAGUCUUGUUCCGUCUAUAUGUUUAGUAUGUCAGUAGAGGCUCGUAGAUACGCAGUGUGGGUCAGAUGGUCUCACAAGAUGUUAUUAUUAUGUAUAUAUUAUUUUUAUGGCCGAGAGGCAAAUGUAUAUAAGUAUUUAUGUUUCUAUAUAAAAUAUGAUUUUCCUACAA
Molecule: long non-coding RNA, 1464 nt
Organism: Lycium barbarum (goji berry)
Lineage: Eukaryota; Viridiplantae; Streptophyta; Magnoliopsida; Solanales; Solanaceae
Exons: 2
Source: RefSeq, a predicted model, not a curated record